ACCUGCCUCAAGGCUGGGGAUAACAUUUGGAAACAGAUGCUAAUACCGAAUAAAACUUAGUAUCGCAUGAUACAAAGUUGAAAGGCGCUACGGCGUCACCUAGAGAUGGGUCCGCGGUGCAUUAGUUAGUUGGUGGGGUAAAGGCCUACCAAGACAAUGAUGCAUAGCCGAGUUGAGAGACUGAUCGGCCACAUUGGGACUGAGACACGGCCCAAACUCCUACGGGAGGCUGCAGUAGGGAAUCUUCCACAAUGGGCGAAAGCCUGAUGGAGCAACGCCGCGUGUGUGAUGAAGGCUUUAGGGUCGUAAAGCACUGUUGUAUGGGAAGAAAUGCUAGAAUAGGGAAUGAUUCUAGUUCGACGGUACCAUACCAGAAAGGGACGGCUAAAUACGUGCCAGCAGCCGCGGUAAUACGUAUGUCCCGAGCGUUAUCCGGAUUUAUUGGGCGUAAAGCGAGCGCAGACGGUUGAUUAAGUCUGAUGUGAAAGCCCGGAGCUCAACUCCGGAAUGGCAUUGGAAACUGGUUAACUUGAGUGUUGUAGAGGUAAGUGGAACUCCAUGUGUAGCGGUGGAAUGCGUAGAUAUAUGGAAGAACACCAG
RNAcentral lists this ribosomal RNA (600 nucleotides) under Leuconostoc lactis. RNAcentral's name for it is "bacterial SSU rRNA". It matches the Rfam family "Bacterial small subunit ribosomal RNA", at positions 124 to 712 of the family's 1533-position model. Lineage: Bacteria; Bacillati; Bacillota; Bacilli; Lactobacillales; Lactobacillaceae. The record is from RNAcentral.